GGGGCCAAGAUUCAGUGGUAGAGCAUCUGUGUUGCACACAGGAGGCCCUGGGUUCAAUCACCAGCAUCUCCC
Molecule: transfer RNA, 72 nt
Filed under: Sphaerodactylus townsendi
Lineage: Eukaryota; Metazoa; Chordata; Lepidosauria; Squamata; Sphaerodactylidae
Description: tRNA-Ala
Source: RNAcentral